GGAGGAAGUAGGGGCGCUGACGUGCCCCCUCGUCGGUGUUCCUGCGAAGUGCUGCAGACGCUUCAGGUUAGAGAAGGCCCUGAGACUGCGCUGCGCACCGCACAGCGGACUCUGCAGGACACAGGUUGGAGCAGCAGUGAGUACAGAAUGGGAGAGAGAACUUCACCAGCAGAACCACAACCUGAAAUCCAGAAAGAAAACAUUUGGAAGAACUGUCUCAAGGAGAUGUGCCAUCUACUAUGCCAUGUGAAGUGGGCUUUUUCAUCCAAGGACAAGGAGGACUUUAGUUCAACAAAUACUUACUGAGUCCUGCUCUCUGCAAGCCACUAUGACAUUUACCAGUGGCCUACUAAAUACUGAACACCGUAUCAUGCUUGGGAAUGGGACAGAAUCCUGGCAUGGAAGGAGUUCUCAGUCUAGGAGAAAGAAAAUAGUCAACAGGAAAAUAAAUAGAAGAAAACUUGCUAAGUACUAUAGUGGACGUGUAGAAAGAAUAGUCUUCAAAGAGUACUGGGACUUCUCCUCUGGAGAUCUAGACUUCAACAAAGGUUCUUUGAAUGAUUGUCUAACUCAGUGUUCUCUCGGGACUCCUGGACCUUGACCAAGAGAGACUGGAGAUAGUUCAUGGGCCACUGCAGGAUCCACAGCUAGAAAUGAAGUCUGUCUGCCUAUUACCCCAUGCAGGGGUGGGCUAGACUCCUCCUAGGUCCCUCGACACCUGGUGCUGGACCUGUAGCUCCCUCAAAGGCACUUUUGUCUGGAUGGAUACCAGAAUUUUGUUAUUGGGAGAGGAGAGACAAAAACAAGGGCUGUCUUAUGCCACCAUCAUGCUGAUGACUUCCUCCACUCUUUUAUUUUUUAACUCCUUAAUGUUACCAGGAAUUAAAAGGUAAGACAAAAAUCUUUAAAGUGUGUAGGAUUUCAUUAUUUGCAUGUGAAUGUGUGUCAUUAAAUGGAAUCUUUUACAAUUAAUUCAGCAAGUUGUAAUUUUAAGGCUCCUGGGAAAUGAGUCAACUAUUACAGCAUUAUAUCAUGUGAGCACUGUUUUAGGAUUUUUGCUCCUAGAGUUUGUAACUCAGGUAUGAUAAUUUGCUACACAUAGUAAAAAAUAAUAUGGAAGACUUUUGAUACAUUUGUUUGAACAUUUAAACUUUCUAUUAUUUUACAGUUUUUAUCAAUAUAAAAAUGCACUGAUAAAAAUUAGUGGAUUAGUACAUUUUAACAACGUUUAUAUCAAUGUAGCAGAAAAUACACCUAGUAAAGAAACACAUAGGAAAAUAUUUAACUUUGCCAAGAGUCAAGGAAUGUGAAAUAAUUUUCAGGGCCCUGUUUUACUCCAAAAAAUUAUAAAGAGGGAAUAGAUCAUACAGAUGUUAAGGAAGGUAGGUAAACAGACAGUACCCUGUUUCCUUUUAUAAAUGAUGCUAUAAUAUGAAUCUUUAUGUAGAAAACAAAUUCUUUA
Equus caballus (horse) is the source of this 1462-nucleotide non-coding RNA. The record is from RefSeq and is a predicted model, not a curated record. NCBI's taxonomy places the organism in Eukaryota, Metazoa, Chordata, Mammalia, Perissodactyla, Equidae.